This 445-nucleotide ribosomal RNA is filed under the name uncultured bacterium. RNAcentral describes it as "bacterial SSU rRNA". It matches the Rfam family "Bacterial small subunit ribosomal RNA", at positions 958 to 1392 of the family's 1533-position model. The record is from RNAcentral.
AACGCGAUUAACCUUACCUGGGCUAGAAUGCCUCUGACAACUCCAGAGAUGGAGCCUCUUAGGGAAACUUAUUGCAGAGUGCAAGGUGCUGUCAUGGCUGUCGUCAGCUCGUGUCGUGAGAUGUUGGGUUAAGUCCCGCAACGAGCGCAACCCUUAUCUUUAGUUGCUAGCGGUUCGGCCGAGCACUCUAGAGAGACUGCCGUUGACAAAACGGAGGAAGGUGGGGAUGACGUCAAGUCCUCAUGGCCUUUAUGUCCAGGGCUACACACGUGCUACAAUGGCCGGUACAAAGCGCUGCAAACUCGCAAGAGGGAGCCAAUCGCAAAAAGCCGGUCUCAGUUCGGAUUGGAGUCUGCAACUCGACUCCAUGAAGCUGGAGUCGCUAGUAAUCUGUCUUUUAUCAGCACGCUGCGGUGAAUACGUGUCCCGGGUCUUGUACACACCG